GACGAGCGCUGGCGGCGUGCUUAACACAUGCAAGUCGAACGGAAAGGCCCUGCUUUUGUGGGGUGCUCGAGUGGCGAACGGGUGAGUAACACGUGAGUAACCUGCCCUUGACUUUGGGAUAACUUCAGGAAACUGGGGCUAAUACCGGAUAGGAGCUCCUGCUGCAUGGUGGGGGUUGGAAAGUUUCGGCGGUUGGGGAUGGACUCGCGGCUUAUCAGCUUGUUGGUGGGGUAGUGGCUUACCAAGGCUUUGACGGGUAGCCGGCCUGAGAGGGUGACCGGCCACAUUGGGACUGAGAUACGGACCAGACUCCUACGGGCGGCAGCAGUGGGGAAUAUUGCACAAUGGGCGGAAGCCUGAUGCAGCAACGCCGCGUGCGGGAUGACGGCCUUCGGGUUGUAAACCGCUUUCGCCUGUGACGAAGCGUGAGUGACGGUAAUGGGUAAAGAAGCACCGGCUAACUACGUG
RNAcentral lists this ribosomal RNA (468 nucleotides) under uncultured bacterium. RNAcentral describes it as "partial 16S ribosomal RNA". It matches the Rfam family "Bacterial small subunit ribosomal RNA", at positions 28 to 507 of the family's 1533-position model. The record is from RNAcentral.